GUUGACUUGGAAUUUCUGUGGAUGAUUCUUUGUGACUGCUUUAUUGUAAGUUUCUUUAUGGGUUCCCAUUAUUUCAAACAUUUCUGUUUCAGCUACUUGCUACAUUGCCUGAUGAUGUUCAGCCUGGACCCGAUUUUCGUGGCCUGUCACGGAAGCCUGUGCUUAUCACUGCCUCCUUAGGAAUUGUUUCAUUUGCCAUUUUCUUCUGGAGAACCAUCCUUGUUAUGCUGGAAUUCUAUGGGGAUCAAGAUGGAGCCUGAGAGGUUCUCACCAAUUAUGCCUAUGAUGAGAAGUUCCCAUCGAAUCCAAAUGCUCAUAUCUACUUAUACAACUUUCUCAAGAGAGAGAAGGCCCCAAGAGAGAAACUGAUAAGCGUGCUUAAGGUACUUUAUUACCAAGGUUGCCAUCAGAACCAGGAAUGACGUUACUCACUAUCAGAAUUGAGAAAAUCGGUCUGAAAGAUGCCGGGCAGUGCAUUGAUCCCUAUAUUACAGUUAGUGUAAAGGGUAAAUAAUUGUGUCUACAUUUCCCCCCUCUGGUGAAUUGUAUAAUGUUGCUUCUCAUUUGGGACAUUUGGGGCAGGGGGUGAGGGGGCCUCAUGUAUCUAUGAUGACUCAUUUAGUUCAUUCUACAGUGAGGCAAAAUCCCUGAGAAGAGGUAGUCGUUCCUCCCUACACAUCUCUGAGAGAUUUACUGAAAAUGCUUUGCUGUUUAUACCUUACCUUCGCAUUUGCUUCUGACUUCUUCUUUGUAUAUGUCUUUUUAUUCUUAAAAUUCCAUGAGGCUGAGGCCAGCUCAGUGGCAUAGUGGUUAAGUUUGCACGCUUCACUUCAGUGGCUGGAGUUUGUGGGUU
This is a non-coding RNA of Equus caballus (horse), 853 nucleotides long. Lineage: Eukaryota; Metazoa; Chordata; Mammalia; Perissodactyla; Equidae. The record is from RefSeq and is a predicted model, not a curated record.